RNAcentral lists this ribosomal RNA (787 nucleotides) under uncultured bacterium. RNAcentral's name for it is "bacterial SSU rRNA". It matches the Rfam family "Bacterial small subunit ribosomal RNA", at positions 8 to 790 of the family's 1533-position model. The record is from RNAcentral.
AGAGUUUGAUCCUGGCUCAGGACGAACGCUGGCGGCGUGCUUAACACAUGCAAGUCGAGCGAUGAAACUUCUUCGGAAGUGGAUUAGCGGCGGACGGGUGAGUAACACGUGGGUAACCUGCCUCAUAGAGGGGAAUAGCCUUUCGAAAGGAAGAUUAAUACCGCAUAAGAUUGUAAUACCGCAUGGUACAGCAAUUAAAGGAGCAAUCCGCUAUGAGAUGGGCCCGCGGCGCAUUAGCUAGUUGGUGAGGUAACGGCUCACCAAGGCGACGAUGCGUAGCCGACCUGAGAGGGUGAUCGGCCACAUUGGGACUGAGACACGGCCCAGACUCCUACGGGAGGCAGCAGUGGGGAAUAUUGCACAAUGGGCGCAAGCCUGAUGCAGCGACGCCGCGUGGGGGAUGACGGCCUUCGGGUUGUAAACUCCUUUCGCCAGGGACGAAGCGUUAUAGUGACGGUACCUGGAUAAGAAGCACCGGCUAACUACGUGCCAGCAGCCCGCGGUAAAUACGUAGGGUGCAAGCGUUGUCCGGAAUUACUGGGCGUAAAGAGCUCGUAGGUGGUUUGUCACGUCGUCUGUGAAAGUCCAGCGCUUACCCCUGGGAUUUGCAGGCGAUACGGGCUGACUUGAUUGCUGUAAGGGAGACUGAAAUUUCUGGGGUGGAACGGUGAAAUGGCGCAAAAUACCGGGAGGAACACCCAAUGGCGAAGGGCGGGGUCUUCCGGGGCAGGGACUGACCCUGAAGAACCGAAAACCUGGGGAACCCCAAAAGGAUUAGAAUCCCCGG